AUGUAUAUUAAAUAUUAUUUAAAUGGCAGCCCACUCCAGUAUUCUUGCCUGGGAAAUCUCUUGGACAGAGGAGCCUGGCCGGCUACAGUCCCGGGGGUCGCUAAGAGUCCGACAGGACUGAAGCGACUAAGCAUCCAUAAUAUAGUUUUAAAAAACAAAUUCAGCCUUCAUUCUCUCAGCCCACUUUCAGGCGUAUCUUUCGUACAGCAGGUAGAUGUACUGUUUACAAAACGCUGCUGCUGUGUUUUUCUGCAACGUGGAUUUUUAGUCACUAUAUAUUCGAGGGUCUUAGGUAGCAAGUGCACCGGGAUCAACUUGGUUCUUCCCAACCGCUGCACAAUAGGAGCGGUUUUGCGCGUCAUCAUUCUUUGUUACUUAGCUCCUUACAAGGGACUUUUAGAUUGUUGCCCAUUUGGGGCCGUUAAAAACAAAGCUACUGGUUCGAUUUGCAUUUUAAUAGCGAAGGAGCUGGACAUGCCGAGGAGGAUGCCAGGUCCGUGUGCUGCGCUCAGGGUCCCUGGUGCAGGCUUGGCCGCAGGAGCCCAGCUAAGAACCCUGGGUAUCCAUCCAGUCAUCUUCCGCAGCCUCUCCAACACCCCCACUUCCCCCAAGGCGCGGCUCUUUUUUGGGACUGUACUGCAUUUUUUGGAGAUGAUUGGGCGGGUGAGGGUGAAAUGCAGGCCAAUGGCUCGCGAGCGGCUCGAAGGAAACGCUCCCCGAAGCAGAAAAAGAGCAGAAAGGGUCAGAGGCACAAGGCGACUCUGGCAGGAUUGUUGUUACUCUGAUGGGGGCGCCUGCAGCGUUGUUAGUGCGGGCGCCCGCUUGAAGCGCCCAGCCGAACCCGCAGCUUUUCGGGGGCGGGGGCGGGGAGGGCUUAUCUGUUGCAUGGCUCUCUCUCUGGGCUGGGGGUUUUGUCUGGUAAGUUCACGUGGCACCGGUCCAGCCCAAAAGCCUGAACACCCAGCACCCCCGACCCGCGGUGUUCCCAGCUCCUGCUGCUGCUGCUGCUAA
Molecule: long non-coding RNA, 1011 nt
Filed under: Bos indicus x Bos taurus (hybrid cattle)
Lineage: Eukaryota; Metazoa; Chordata; Mammalia; Artiodactyla; Bovidae
Description: lncRNA (ENSBIXG00000008955.1)
Source: RNAcentral